This is a long non-coding RNA of Limulus polyphemus (Atlantic horseshoe crab), 2034 nucleotides long. RefSeq lists it as uncharacterized. NCBI's taxonomy places the organism in Eukaryota, Metazoa, Arthropoda, Merostomata, Xiphosura, Limulidae. The transcript has 3 exons. The record is from RefSeq and is a predicted model, not a curated record.
UAUCCAAUUUUCAAUUAUCGUGUUCUUUACGUUUUAAUGCUUAGUUUACAGUAGACUUUUUUUGGGUUUUAAUAGUAAAAUAAUAGUCGCAACUAACACAGCAACUACAGCAAAAAACAGCAACAAAAAACAAUAAACAAGCACAAUUAAAGAACUUAGUGUGGGUUUAAUGUGGGUGUUGUUCAACCAUUCAAUAAAGGCUGGGAGUAUUUUAGUCGUGAGUGUAUACAAACUGUGAAUCCGAGGAUUCAAGGUUCGAGGACUUUAGUCGUAAAAAAGCACUCCUCACUUUAGGGCUGUGGACGCACUACAAGAGUGACGGGUAAACUACCACUAUUUUCCAGGCAAAACUAUCUAAGAGUUGGCGGUUGGUGCUGCUGGCUAGUUGCGUUCCCUCUAGUCUAUAAAUCCGAAACUAGGAAGCCAGCCAGAAAUCCGAAAGUAGGGAGCUAACCAUAAAUCUGAAACUAGGGAGUCAGCCAUAAACUCGAAGACAGGGAGCCAGCUGUAAACACGAAACUACGGAGCCAGUCAGCCAUAAACUCGAAAAAAGGGAGCCAGCCAUUUGCUCACGACGCUCUUGCGUAGCUUUGCGUAAAAACUAAAAUAGAAGCAAAGAAUCUAUUCAAAAGCUAAAACUCACCGUUUCUGAGUACGGUUGCAGAGUUGUUUUUUUUAAAACUAAUUAAGAUGCUUAACUCAGAAAAAAGGAAAGUAAAAAUAACAAAUGUAAUUUGAAAUCUUUAUUGUUAGACCACAAGUAUAUAUAUAUAUAUACAUAUAUAUUAAACGCCCAUGCUUAUAUCCAAGAUAAGAGGCAUCAUCACGAAAAUAUUAUAUGUUAAGCCUGAUAUAUGCCCAUUUUAUGUUUAUAAUUAUUCUGCAUAAUCACAUGUCUUUCACUUCACAAAAUACCUAAGAAAAUAACACGCUUACUAAGUGAAAGUAUAGGGUGCGCAGACCAAUGGAAGGCUCUAUAAAUCCCACUCUCAUAUUCUCCUAUACAAGCUUUAUAUAAUAUACUUUGCAUAAUUGCUAUUAAACUCGUUAUAAUAGUUGAUUUGUAGUUCUCCUCCGGCCUUCCAGUCGGCGCACACAACUAGUCUGCUACACAGAUACAUAACACGCAUUAACAUGCUAGAGUAUUGUAGCUGUCUGUAUUAUAUUAACAUGUUAGGGUUAUGUGGCUGUCUGUAUUAUCUGUUGAAACUAGGCGCGAAAGUGAAAAUGCCAUUAUAUAUAUAUAUAUAUACACAGACGGAGACAAAAACGUGCACCACUCACAAUGCUCGACUCAAAGUGGAUUCGGAUAGGAUAGUUACUCACCUUCAAAGCAGACGGCAAUCAAGUGGAUCUCCAAAUGACCGUUAUUAAGGGUAAAGCAAGCAACUCAGUACCCCUACACGUCUAGUAAUUUUCAAAUUACGAAAGCUGUCAAUUCCCUUUCCCCCCCUGUCUAUAGAUGUAAUUUCAUGAAAUUAUGUUAAUUAUUUCGAUCGGCUACAAUAAGUAGCAGCAUCCAAUGAGAGAAAUCAAGUCGCCAAUUUUCCAAAUUGUUACCCGUUUAAAUACCUUUAUAUAUCUAGGGACUCCAAAGAGAACAGACAGAAGGUUGUGGUACUCUGUUAUGCCUAGACCGAAAUCACGCGAAUCGUAGUUUUGUUUGAAGUGUGGCGAAAAAGGUUGCGAACGUAAACAGGACAUAAGAAGGCAACCAGCAGCGAGAGUUAAAGAAUUGAAGUUAUAAAGAGUUUAGACGAUGGUAAUAUUGUCUACCUGACGCUAGGUGUUCCGUAAAGCUCGGGAAGACCAAUCACGAAAGAAAAAGAUGAAACAAAAACAAAUUAACUCAGCGGAUAAAUUUGAGGACUUAUAACGUCAAAAACUGAGAUUCAAUCCCUGUGGUGAACACAAUAUAAAUAGGCCACUUUUACACUUCUGUAUUAUUGAAAUUACCGAACGAGGAACACAUAAAGUUUUGUAUGAAUACAAAUUUUGGACAACCAGUUUCUUCUGUAUGGUACAUUAGUUAUC